Molecule: long non-coding RNA, 3116 nt
Organism: Cornus florida
Lineage: Eukaryota; Viridiplantae; Streptophyta; Magnoliopsida; Cornales; Cornaceae
Exons: 3
Source: RefSeq, a predicted model, not a curated record
UGUUUCAAAUUUCAAAAAUGCUUUGGCCGUUCGUAUUCUAACCCCAACCCUAAUUUUUUUAAUUUUUUUUCUCUCUCCUCUCUCUUCUCUUUUCUUUCCUUUUCCUUUUUUUCUUUUUCUUUUCUCUUUCUUCCUCUUUCUCUUUCUCUCUCUAAGCUCUCGGCCUCCCUUACUUCUUCUCUCCCUCGCCGAAACAAAGCAAGCCACCACCACCCACUCAUCUCUCAAUCUCCAUCAACCGCGAACCAAACCCAAACUCCAUCUCUCUAUUCUCUGUCCGACAAAAUUAAAGCCCCAAAGUUUCCCCACUAUUCACGCCACCGCUGCCAUCUCCAUUGUUUCUGGCCGAAGCUCUUGGCGAAGGGUCAAGCCUCCCUUGUUCUUUCAAUCUCAGUCUAUCUCUAUCUCAAUCUCCGUCCAGUAAGGCCAAGGAGAUACCGGCACCCACCUGCAAUUUCCUGCAAGUUUUUUUGCGUCUUUUCAUCUUCUCUGGCCGCGAUUGGCCAGAAGCUCAUCGGAUUUUUCCCUCUCUGUUUUGAUUCCCUCUCUUGCGAUAGGUUGUUGAUUCCAAGUUUGGGGGAGACGUCUUUCAAAAUGGAUCAUUGCCAGACUUCAUAGACUUUUGCCACCAUGAUAUACUCUUUUCAUCUCUUCCAUUGUUCUCAUUGCACAUUGAGGACAAUGUGUGACUUAAGUUUGGGAUUAGUUAUGUUUUGAUAGGUCUUCAUGUCCAAGUUUGGGGGACGCCGUUGCGCACUCACAUGGCUGCACAUCUACGUCGUCGUCACUCCACUUGGUAUUAUUGUUCUUUUCCCCCCUUUGCUCUUAUUUUGGUAUGCUUGUCUUCACACAUUGAGGACACUGUGUUAUUCAAGUUUAGGGGUGCAUUUAUGCAUUUUUGGUUUUGCAUUUUUGCUAAGCAAUGAUAGUAUAACUUGACACUAGUUGGAGAUGAAGCAUAUGUUUAAUACCUUGUGUAUAGAAGCAAUUGACAUUUUUGAAAAUAAAGAAAAAUUUGAGUUGAAAUGAUCAUGUGGAUUCAAAUCAGUCUAUAUAAAUGUCUCAAUUAGAUUCUCGCUGGAUUUGACACUCUUUUAAGCUUCACAAUGCACAGAUGCACAUUGAAAACUUAACUGUGAGGCAUGCAACUUGAUUGACCUUGACCUUGGCCUAGUUAAUUUGAUUUGAUGAACCUGAUAAAUGAAUAUCUUUGGCAUGAUUUAAGUUGUCUAAAAAAAAAAAACUGAGAAAGAAAGAAAAAAAAUGACCAGUUGACGUUCGUAGCCUUUCCAACUCGAGCUAUUAAGCCCUAGGAGUGUCUAUACACUUAGCACCCUAAAGCCAUCUGGUUUGGGAGUUGUUGGCCUAACACUUACUACAAGGGUUGGUUAGAAAGCUUAAAGGACUUAAACAUUGCACGGUCAUUCAAAAAAAAUUGUAAUAAGCAUGGUUCGUUGGAGUUCGUAGCCUUUCCAACUUAAGCUAUUAAGCCCUAGGAGUGUCUCUACACUUAACAUCCUAAAGCCAUCUGGUUUGGGAGUUGUUGGCCUAACGCUUGAUACAUAGGUUGGUUAGAAAGCUUAAGGGACUUCAGCAUUGCACAACCAUUCUAUGUUUCGCUUAUGAGUUACAAUAAAUUGUCAACAAGCAACAAAAGUUGUCUUGUAAAUAAAAUCAUGCCUUAGGGACCUCAUUUAAAGGGGAAUUCAAUGAUUUGAAAACUUGUGCUUGGAAAUUGGAAAAGAAAGUAAAAGCCGCAUGUUGAGAAUCCAAUCCACUUUCACUGAAGUUAGAGUUGAUUUCCAUUUAAGAGAUGACAAUUGAGUUAUUUAUAUGGACUAUGAUGUUGAUACAUGCAUGUUGAAAUGUGUUUAGUAUGACCCCAUCUCCAGCUCUUUUUCUGUUUCAAGUUAUUUUUGAGCUAUGUAUAUAUCUCAUUUUACUAUGGAUGAUAUUUUUGUAGUAGCAUGCCCAUGGUUGUCUUUUCAUUAAAUUUUUCAUUGUAGUUUUGUUAAGGGACUAGCAAAAUGUAAGUUUGGGGGUGUGAUAAGCGCCGAAUAUUGUAUAUUCAAGCGCCCUAAAUUGCAUUAGUAAAGUCUGUUGUAUGUUAAUUUAUAUAGAUUAUCUUCAUUUCUAUGUUUUUAUGCAUUUUCAGGUUCAUUGGCCAAAAUGGAACAAGAAUAAGGCCUUGUGGAAUCUUGAGCAACAAAAGGUGCCAAUGCUGAAUUCUGGCAGCAGUAGAACCUGGACUUUGCUCACCAUUUUGACCUUCCAAACUCAAGAACUGGACUUCCCUCAUAACAUAAAAUAUUUAGAUCUCUGAAUUAGCUUUCUAAAUCUUCAAACGGUUUGUCAUUCGGAGCUCGGAGCAGAGAGUUAUGGACUUGUUACCAGAGGUGCGCAGAACUGCCUGGCAGCAAUGAAAUUCUGCCUUGAUCUUCAUUUUUGACCAACCAUUCUUGAGAAUUGGAUCUCUACCAAAACAUGAAGUAUUUAAAUCUCUGAAUUAGCUUUCCAAAUCUUCAAACGGUUCAUCAUUCAGAGUUUGGAACGCAAAGUUAUGGCCAUUUCAUCAAAGUAGGUCCAGACGGAGCAAAUGGAGAAUAGGGCAUUCUGCCCAAUUUUUGAGUGCUCGAGGCCCUAUUUCGAGCACUCGAAAUUAGGGCAGAAUUCUACACGACUCAGCCCACUUGUGCUCAGAUUUUACCUACUUUGAAAGCUUUCCUUUAUGAGUUGGUUGGAGAUGUUUCUUAGAGGAGAGAGAGAGCUUUUUGGGUGGAUUUCUUAUCUAGAUAAAGAGGGGAGAGCCACACAUUUUCAUUAUCCUUCAUUCUACAAGAUUUUGGAGAGAGAAGAGAGCAAGGAGAGAGAGUUCUUCAAGCUUGAAGAAGGGAGCACGAAAAUGGAGGAGGUCUUCAAGAUUCUUCCUUCUUCCAUUGCUCCUAUGGGUAACUAAAUCUUCUCUAGGGAGGUGAUGAAGCUCCUCCCUUGUAAGCAUGUGCUAGUGUAGAUUUUAUUUUGGGGAGAACAAUGUAUAGUUUUUGGUUAUUUUAUGAUCUAGAGCAUCAUAUUUGUUGUAAUGAACUUUAAUGUCUAUACAUGAUUAUUUUGAGUUA